AAGGCGAGGCCGAAAGGCGUAGUCGAUGGGAAACGGGUUAAUAUUCCCGUACUUGGUGUUACUGCGAAGGGGGGACGGAGAAGGCUAUGUUGGCCGGGCGACGGUUGUCCCGGUUUAAGCGUGUAGGCUGGUUUUCCAGGCAAAUCCGGAAAAUCAAGGCUGAGGCGUGACGACGAGGCACUACGGUGCUGAAGCAACAAAUGCCCUGCUUCCAGGAAAAGCCUCUAAGCAUCAGGUAACAUCAAAUCGUACCCCAAACCGACACAGGUGGUCAGGUAGAGAAUAC
This 286-nucleotide ribosomal RNA is filed under the name Salmonella enterica subsp. enterica serovar Anatum. RNAcentral's name for it is "partial 23S ribosomal RNA". It matches the Rfam family "Bacterial large subunit ribosomal RNA", at positions 1393 to 1681 of the family's 2925-position model. The record is from RNAcentral. Lineage: Bacteria; Pseudomonadati; Pseudomonadota; Gammaproteobacteria; Enterobacterales; Enterobacteriaceae. RNAcentral also lists the same sequence under 5 other names.